RNAcentral lists this ribosomal RNA (1258 nucleotides) under uncultured bacterium. RNAcentral's name for it is "bacterial SSU rRNA". It matches the Rfam family "Bacterial small subunit ribosomal RNA", at positions 92 to 1365 of the family's 1533-position model. The record is from RNAcentral.
UUAGUGGCGGACUGGUGAGUAACACGUAAGGAACCUGCCUAUUAGAGGGGAAUAACAACGAGAAAUCGUUGCUAAUACCGCAUAAGCUAGUAGUACCGCAUGGUAUAGCUAGAAAAGGAGUAAUCCGCUAAUAGAUGGCCUUGCGUCUGAUUAGAUAGUUGGUGGGGUAACGGCCCACCAAGUCGACGAUCAGUAGCCGGACUGAGAGGUUGACCGGCCACAUUGGGACUGAGAUACGGCCCAGACUCCUACGGGAGGCAGCAGUGGGGAAUAUUGGGCAAUGGGCGCAAGCCUGACCCAGCAACGCCGCGUGAAGGAAGAAGGCUUUCGGGUUGUAAACUUCUUUUAAGUGGGAAGAGCAGAAGACGGUACCACUUGAAUAAGCCACGGCUAACUACGUGCCAGCAGCCGCGGUAAUACGUAGGUGGCAAGCGUUGUCCGGAUUUACUGGGUGUAAAGGGCGUGCAGCCGGGCAUGCAAGUCAGAUGUGAAAUCUCAGGGCUUAACCCUGAAACUGCAUUUGAAACUGUAUGUCUUGAGUGCCGGAGAGGUAAUCGGAAUUCCUUGUGUAGCGGUGAAAUGCGUAGAUAUAAGGAAGAACACCAGUGGCGAAGGCGGAUUACUGGACGGUAACUAACGGUGAGGCGCGAAAGCGUGGGGAGCAAACAGGAUUAGAUACCCUGGUAGUCCACGCUGUAAACGAUGGAUACUAGGUGUGCGGGGACUGACCCCCUGCGUGCCGCAGUUAACACAAUAAGUAUCCCACCUGGGGAGUACGAUCGCAAGGUUGAAACUCAAAGGAAUUGACGGGGGCCCGCACAAGCAGCGGAGCAUGUGGUUUAAUUCGACGCAACGCGAAGAACCUUACCAGGUCUUGACAUCGAUCCAAAGCUGUAGAGAUACAGUGUGACUUCGGUCAGGAGAAGACAGGUGGUGCAUGGUUGUCGUCAGCUCGUGUCGUGAGAUGUUGGGUUAAGUCCCGCAACGAGCGCAACCCUUAUUGUCAGUUACUAACGGGUAAAGCUGAGGACUCUGACGAGACUGCCGGGGACAACUCGGAGGAAGGUUGGGACGACGUCAAAUCAUCAUGCCCCUUAUGACCUGGGCUACACACGUGCUACAAUGGUGGUAACAAAGAGGAGCGAGCCCGCAAGGGUAAGCGGAUCUCAAAAAAGCCAUCUCAGUUCGGAUUGUGGGCUGCAACCCGCCCACAUGAAGUUGGAGUUACGAGUAAUCGCGAAUCAGCAUGUCGCGGUGA